GCCGUCGGUGGUCCGGAAACUGGCUCACGUGAAGUCCUCUUUGACGUGUCUUCUGUUGUCUACCUUUGUACCUGUGGACGGAAAGCGAGCAAAGCCUCGCAGGUUUCCUUUACCUACGCCCAACGUGCCCCCAGGAUAAACCUAAGAGAGUAGAGGAAAAGAUUUUCUUUCCCAGCAGGCAUUAGAUGUUACAGCAAAAUAAUUUAAUUUUAGAAUCAGGCCCCAGGUGAAUGAAGAAAGGGAAUGAGUACCGGCAUCCUGGAAGAAAAUGUCAUAGGGUCAGCUUUCUGUAAGAAGCAGUGACUGCUGAUAAAAGAUCUCAUCUAGAACAUUAAAAUCAAUAUACAAUGUGAUUUUUAAGAAAUCAAGUGAUGAAAUUCUUCUCAUUUACAAUGAGCCAGGCAGUUUCUGUGACAGUGAACUGUCUGCCUAUACACAAACUUGGUUCCUGCUGUCAUGGUUAGACAACUACAAGCCAUUACUGAUUCAGUCAACAAACAACUGAAGGAUCAAAUAAGGAAGAGGCAUUUGUCUUGGUUGUUGUCUGAAACCUUUUAUUGGCAUCUUCUUACAAGAUCAAAAUAGCACCAACAUCAAAACUUGCAAAAUGGGUGUCCGUGUCUAGGAAGAAAAUCCUUAAGACAGAAGAAGGGCACUCGUCUGUGACAUGCUGCCUCACCCAUGCUCAUGGUGGCACAGAGGAGAUACUGGAUGGAAAAACAGAGGCAUCUAUCAUGAAGAGUUGAAAAGUGAUUCAAAGGAGUCAAGCCAAUCAUGA
Long non-coding RNA from Mustela erminea (ermine), 778 nucleotides. RefSeq lists it as uncharacterized. The transcript is spliced from 5 exons. NCBI's taxonomy places the organism in Eukaryota, Metazoa, Chordata, Mammalia, Carnivora, Mustelidae. The record is from RefSeq and is a predicted model, not a curated record.